GAACAGGAUUAGAUACCCUGGUAGUCCGCACGGUAAACGAUGGAUGCCCGCUGUUUGCGAUAUACUGUGAGCGGCCAAGAGAAAUCGUUAAGCAUCCCACCUGGGGAGUACGCCGGCAACGGUGAAACUCAAAGGAAUUGACGGGGGCCCGCACAAGCGGAGGAACAUGUGGUUUAAUUCGAUGAUACGCGAGGAACCUUAACCCGGGCUUGAACUGCCAGCGAACGAUUCAGAGAUGAUGAGGUCUUUCGGGACGCUGGUGGAGGUGCUGCAUGGUUGUCGUCAGCUCGUGCCGUGAGGUGUCGGCUUAAGUGCCAUAACGAGCGCAACCCUUUUCUUUAGUUGCCAUCAGGUAAUGCUGGGCACUCUGGAGAUACUGCCACCGUAAGGUGUGAGGAAGGUGGGGAUGACGUCAAAUCAGCACGGCCCUUACGUCCGGGGCUACACACGUGUUACAAUGGGGGGUACAGAGAGUCGGAUAUACGCAAGUAUGUUCUAAUCCUUAAAGCCUUCCUCAGUUCGGAUUGGGGUCUGCAACCCGACCCCAUGAAGCUGGAUUCGCUAGUAAUCGCGCAUCAGCCAUGGCGCGGUGAAUACGUUCCCGGGCCUUGUACACACCGCCCGUCAAGCCAUGAAAGCCGGGGGCGCUUGAAGUCCGUGACCGCAAGGAUCGACCUAGAGCGAAACUGGUAAUUGGGGCUAAGUCGUAACAAGGUA
RNAcentral lists this ribosomal RNA (717 nucleotides) under uncultured bacterium. Its description in RNAcentral is "bacterial SSU rRNA". It matches the Rfam family "Bacterial small subunit ribosomal RNA", at positions 770 to 1498 of the family's 1533-position model. The record is from RNAcentral.